UCUGGUAACGAUAGCAUAAAGGUAACACCCCUUCCCAUUCCGAACAGGACGGUUAAGCUUUAUAGCGCUGAUGGUACUUCAGGGGAGGCUCUGCGGGAGAGUAAGACGUUGCCAGGU
This 117-nucleotide ribosomal RNA is filed under the name Hathewaya proteolytica DSM 3090. Lineage: Bacteria; Bacillati; Bacillota; Clostridia; Eubacteriales; Clostridiaceae. The record is from RNAcentral.